Molecule: transfer RNA, 66 nt
Filed under: Marmota monax (woodchuck)
Lineage: Eukaryota; Metazoa; Chordata; Mammalia; Rodentia; Sciuridae
Description: tRNA.Undet
Source: RNAcentral
GGAGAUAUAGUUCAGUUGGUAGAAUGCUUGUCUUGCAAGGCCCUGGGUUCAAUCCCCAGUACAACA